This 254-nucleotide ribosomal RNA is filed under the name uncultured bacterium. RNAcentral describes it as "partial 16S ribosomal RNA". It matches the Rfam family "Bacterial small subunit ribosomal RNA", at positions 524 to 776 of the family's 1533-position model. The record is from RNAcentral.
UACGUAGGGGGCAAGCGUUGUCCGGAUUCAUUGGGCGUAAAGAGCUCGUAGGCGGCUUGGCAAGUCGGGUGUGAAACCUCCAGGCUCAACCUGGAGACGCCACCCGAUACUGCCAUGGCUAGAGUCCGGUAGGGGACCACGGAAUUCCUGGUGUAGCGGUGAAAUGCGCAGAUAUCAGGAGGAACACCGGUGGCGAAGGCGGGUCUCUGGGCCGUAACUGACGCUGAGGAGCGAAAGCGUGGGGAGCGAACAGG